AGUAAUGCUUAGGAAUCUGCCUAUUAGUGGGGGACAACAUCUCGAAAGGGAUGCUAAUACCGCAUACGUCCUACGGGAGAAAGCAGGGGAUCUUCGGACCUUGCGCUAAUAGAUGAGCCUAAGUCGGAUUAGCUAGUUGGUGGGGUAAAGGCCUACCAAGGCGACGAUCUGUAGCGGGUCUGAGAGGAUGAUCCGCCACACUGGGACUGAGACACGGCCCAGACUCCUACGGGAGGCAGCAGUGGGGAAUAUUGGACAAUGGGGGGAACCCUGAUCCAGCCAUGCCGCGUGUGUGAAGAAGGCCUUAUGGUUGUAAAGCACUUUAAGCGAGGAGGAGGCUACUUUAGUUAAUACCUAGAGAUAGUGGACGUUACUCGCAGAAUAAGCACCGGCUAACUCUGUGCCAGCAGCCGCGGUAAUACAGAGGGUGCGAGCGUUAAUCGGAUUUACUGGGCGUAAAGCGUGCGUAGGCGGCUUAUUAAGUCGGAUGUGAAAUCCCCGAGCUUAACUUGGGAAUUGCAUUCGAUACUGGUGAGCUAGAGUAUGGGAGAGGAUGGUAGAAUUCCAGGUGUAGCGGUGAAAUGCGUAGAGAUCUGGAGGAAUACCGAUGGCGAAGGCAGCCAUCUGGCCUAAUACUGACGCUGAGGUACGAAAGCAUGGGGAGCAAACAGGAUUAGAUACCCUGGUAGUCCAUGCCGUAAACGAUGUCUACUAGCCGUUGGGGCCUUUGAGGCUUUAGUGGCGCAGCUAACGCGAUAAGUAGACCGCCUGGGGAGUACGGUCGCAAGACUAAAACUCAAAUGAAUUGACGGGGGCCCGCACAAGCGGUGGAGCAUGUGGUUUAAUUCGAUGCAACGCGAAGAACCUUACCUGGCCUUGACAUACUAGAAACUUUCCAGAGAUGGAUUGGUGCCUUCGGGAAUCUAGAUACAGGUGCUGCAUGGCUGUCGUCAGCUCGUGUCGUGAGAUGUUGGGUUAAGUCCCGCAACGAGCGCAACCCUUUUCCUUACUUGCCAGCAUUUCGGAUGGGAACUUUAAGGAUACUGCCAGUGACAAACUGGAGGAAGGCGGGGACGACGUCAAGUCAUCAUGGCCCUUACGGCCAGGGCUACACACGUGCUACAAUGGUCGGUACAAAGGGUUGCUACACAGCGAUGUGAUGCUAAUCUCAAAAAGCCGAUCGUAGUCCGGAUUGGAGUCUGCAACUCGACUCCAUGA
RNAcentral lists this ribosomal RNA (1218 nucleotides) under Acinetobacter baumannii. RNAcentral describes it as "bacterial SSU rRNA". It matches the Rfam family "Bacterial small subunit ribosomal RNA", at positions 109 to 1323 of the family's 1533-position model. The record is from RNAcentral. Lineage: Bacteria; Pseudomonadati; Pseudomonadota; Gammaproteobacteria; Moraxellales; Moraxellaceae.